CUGAAAAAUGAAAGAAAAAGAAAUGGCCUCAAAUUAGUAGGCAUAUGGAAUUUUACACAUCUGCUCCUUCAUCGCCUGCUACAGAGCGAGUCACAAAUCUCGAACAUGGCGAAACCCUCUUACAAAAAAAACCCGACGCCCCAUCGAGCACCACUUGCUCCACUACCCGGGAUUCCACUCUCGCCGCACUGUAUUACACUGCCAACUAUCGGCCUGCUGUCACAACACUAUCUGGCAGCCUCAGGUGUCCACACACUUGUAGGCUCACUCCUUGCCUCACCGGCACGAUGAAAGAGCAGGCGUGGGACGCAGUGACAGCAGGUCAACGCUGAACUGACAUCUCCAUCCCCAGACAAGUCAAUGGCUCCACUUCUACUGCUGAUACCUCUUCCAUGCUAAAAAAAAAGAGCAAUAUCACCAAGAGUCAAGAAACAGAAAGCUACUGACACUUCUCAGCCAAUACCAUCCAAAAGAAGGAAAAAUAUCACGAUGGCUCCAGGAGACCUGCCAGAUGAGUACUAAUAUCAGAACCUAGCUAUAAUGAGGAUGGUGAUACCCUCCAAUAAAAUGGGAUAAUAUUUUGUUUUAAAUCAAGGAUGCCAUGAUAAGUUAGAAGUGGUCCAGUGGGCUUGUGGCAAGGACAUCUUCCACAACUCACUUCAGAUGUUUUUGUCCUCAACUGUAAUCUGACCUCUUCAAAGCUGUCCAGUAGAGCUGCCUGAAACUGUUCAAUAAAGUCAGUCAUGUAAU
Long non-coding RNA from Scylla paramamosain (green mud crab), 750 nucleotides. RefSeq lists it as uncharacterized. Lineage: Eukaryota; Metazoa; Arthropoda; Malacostraca; Decapoda; Portunidae. The record is from RefSeq and is a predicted model, not a curated record. The transcript is spliced from 2 exons.